UUAAACAGAACUUGCAAUAAAGAAAGCCUAAAUAGGGCUCUCUUUACAGGAAGUGUUUAUGGAAGGCUGUGCAAGUCACAUGCAGGGAGGUGUGACUAGGGUUCAUAAACAAAGGGAUUUCACUCCUAAAUGGCAGAGGAUUGAGCAGUGAGGCUGCAGGGGCAUGUUCUAUACACCAAAACAACUUAAUUAAGCUAAAGUUGUUCAGGUGAGUAUAGUGUCCCUUUAAUAUGUUACAUUAGUUCAUUAUGUGCAGUCUGUGUUGUAAUACAUACAAAUGCAUCACUGCAAAGUUUAUGUACGUUCAUAUGUUCAGAUCAAUUCGCCUCUGCGCAGAUGAUAAUCUGCAUUUACCCUUAUAAACCGAUACUUAAGCCUCUGCGUAGGCGACUGUUCGCGUUAAUGGAAAUCUGUCUGAUGUGAGAACACGAUACCAAUAAACAUAUUUAAAACAAAAUAGUCAGACACUCUUUGGUCAAGCAUAUCAUCAAGGCCAACUCAUACAUUUCGCUCAUACUAGGCAUAUACUCGCAUUUUUCUCCAUUUGAAGAUACUGAUGUAAUUUUAGUCUGUCUUCUCUAAAUGAUGAUGAUUACUAGCACAUCGCAACACCCAUACAAAAGACAGGGCAAACAUGUAGAUUCUUCUAUAUUUAGUUAAAAAAAUGUUUUAUGCAGCAGAUAGGUCACAAUAAAAGAUAAAAAAGAAAAACCAUGAUUUUCAUUUUGAUUAUUUUUUCACCCUGUGUUGUAAUCCUGUGCUGUUAUUUAACCAUGCAGUAAAAAAGAUUGACUUUCUUUAAUGUAUGUUGGAUUAUGAGAUCAGAUGGAGAGUCUGCUCAAGUGCAGCUGAAACUACUGUUCUUGUUUUCUGUACAUAUUCCAAAAACCAGUCCUU
This is a non-coding RNA of Pelobates cultripes (western spadefoot toad), 897 nucleotides long. NCBI's taxonomy places the organism in Eukaryota, Metazoa, Chordata, Amphibia, Anura, Pelobatidae. The record is from the annotation of a GenBank genome assembly.